GAAUUCACAGUUUCCCAAUUACCAUGACAAAGCAGUGAUAUCAAAGCCUCAGAUUUACUCUUUCAUUAAGAAGCAAGAAAGAGUGGGGUUCCGAGCAGAGCUACUUUAACUCUCCUGUCAUCUCUUCCUUAGACUUGGAGGUCAAAUGUAGAGAUUUUGGAUGUUUGAUUGGACCAACAUACCAUUCAUCUAUGUAACACAAUUUCCUAAAGGCCUACUGACAUUAACCAUCCUAGAUUCCAGAUGAAUGCAUUUCUCUUCUCUUCUCUACAGUUUUGCCUAAGAGACAUUGGAAGACAAAUGUUUCUGUCACAGCCAGUAGUGGGACUGUCUCAACUCGUUUUCCUGUGAUGCCUGUCCUUGGAUGCUCUACUUUGUGAAAUUGUGGCCCGAGAAGGGUUGCUAUGAACCAACCAAGUCCCCCUGGAAUGAGUAGGAUCCAUGAUAUGAGGACACCUAAAUUUAGGCAUCUGGAUGUCUCAGUGACUUAGGUUCCAUCAUAGUAAGUCAGGAUUUUGUCAGUGUCACCUGCAGAUCCCAAAGAGCCGUUCAGCUGCCAUCCAGGAGAAUGUGCCAUGUACAGUGAAACAGGAGCCUACAGUGGCUGAGACAUUUGGAACUGAGGAAACUAAACAGUCUUGGAGAAGGUACUUCCUUCUCUCCACUUCAAUUAUGGUCACACUGUCAUAGGAGUCCCAUCUCCCUGUGUCUUUUCUUCACACCAUUGUGAUGGAAGAAUGGAUUAGGGAAUCUUACGCUUCCCUUAAAAGAAAAAUUCUAGCAUUUUUAACACCUAAAAUAAAAUAGAAGCCAAACAAAACUCUCCAACCAAAGUUAUGGUUGGAUAAGCUUUUCAAAUAAAUCCCAGAAUGGAACUCUAUUACAAACUCAAGGAGAGCACAUUGACUCUCAGUCUGUCCUGACAAAACACAUUGUGCAAAUGAGUUUACCAUAAAGAUAUAUUGGAACCAGUCUGGAAGCCAACACACCAGUUAAGUUGUUGAUGGCAUAGAGUCUCUCCAUCAAGGUCACUAUCUCAAAAAAUGUAUUUCAGAAAGAAAUCCUGCUACUUUGUAGAAAGUGAGUUGUUCUAAAAUAACAGUGGGCUCUUUCCUAUUAAAGAGCCUCCACUGUCCAGAAUGACUUCUCAAGUAAAGAAAAGUGGGUGCAAGCUCAAAGUAGAGAUUUAGAACUUUGCAGAGGAGUCAAACGCUGAUCUAUGCUCUAGAAGCACGCAACUUUAUUGGCAUCUUGAAAGCAUAUUGAUUUAAUUAGUGCUUAGCUAUUUUCUUUGGAUCUCUCACUAUCAUAUUGGAUAUGUCUCACAAACUGAUAACAAAUACCACGCAUGUAGCUCUAGCCCCUGCAAGCAGCAGCCAAUGCACUUUUAAAUGAAGACUUUGUUUUUUUCAAACAGAUAAACACAUAAGAGCAAAUAUCAUCAGUUGUCCUCGGGGGAGGAAAUUUUUGGUUACUGCAACUUUAGUUCCAAACCAGUUAGGAGAUUUUGGUGCAGAAAGAUACAAUAAUUAAAUUGCUUAAGGCUUUUAGGUUUCUGAUGGGGUUGCAAAGCUGUGCAGUUGUUUUUGUGAUUUUUUUUUUUUUUUUUGCCACUGUGGCUUCUUCAUUCAAGACCAAUUGGCCACAUGUGUUGAUAGUUACCACUAAGGCUGAAUAAUUUCUGUCUUUCAUGAGGGUAUCAAGAGCCUCUGUCAGAUAAAAUGGAAGAGUAAACGACACUGAAGUAUUACACUGAAAGAUUACUUGUUAACCUUGCUAUGGCUAAUAAAAUUCUAAUUUGCAAGCCUUGAUUCACUACAAUUGAUGUGCAUGUGAGUAACAUGGAAUUACUCUGGUUAAAGCUGUUAAAAUAUGAGACCUACAUGAAAAAUAUAUUAUGACAGAAAGAAUUAUCACUUUUUUCCCCCUUGAACUGAGGUUAAUCUAUACUUUCUGUCCACUAGGUAUGCUUGGAUUUACAAUCCUAUUCUCUUAAAACCCAGUUAAUUGCAUUAAGUGCAGUUGGAAUGUGUUCAGCAAUGAUAUUGGCCUUCUGAUUAUUGAGCAUAUAUGGAAACAUGAGGAUUCAAGAAUUUAAAUGCAUUAUUUAUCUAUCAGUGAUACUAUAAACUUCUUGAGUUUAUACUAUAGGAAAGAAACAAAACACCUCCUAGAUCAAGUCCCAGUGUGGUGCCUUGAACUUCUUGAUGCUUUUAAUAUUCAUUAAAACAUGUAAAAUGCAUUUUCAAAAAAAUAA
This is a long non-coding RNA of Zonotrichia leucophrys gambelii, 2257 nucleotides long. RefSeq lists it as uncharacterized. The record is from RefSeq and is a predicted model, not a curated record. The transcript is spliced from 5 exons. Lineage: Eukaryota; Metazoa; Chordata; Aves; Passeriformes; Passerellidae.